CGUGGGAAAUCUACCUCCGAAUCGGGGAUAACCCGUCGAAAGGUGAGCUAAUACCGGAUAAUAUCCCAAGAACUCCUGUUUUUGGGAUCAAAGGUGGCCUCUACAUGUAAGCUACUGUUUGGAGAUGAGCCCGCGUACCAUUAGCUUGUUGGUAGGGUAAUGGCCUACCAAGGCCACGAUGGUUAGCUGGUCUGAGAGGAUGAUCAGCCACACUGGAACUGACACACGGUCCAG
RNAcentral lists this ribosomal RNA (234 nucleotides) under uncultured bacterium. Its description in RNAcentral is "partial 16S ribosomal RNA". It matches the Rfam family "Bacterial small subunit ribosomal RNA", at positions 116 to 334 of the family's 1533-position model. The record is from RNAcentral.